GACGAACGCUGGCGGCGUGCCUAAUACAUGCAAGUAGAACGCCGAAGGAGGAGCUUGCUCUUCUGGAUGAGUUGCGAACGGGUGAGUAACGCGUAGGUAACCUGCCUGGUAGUGGGGGAUAACUAUUGGAAACGAUAGCUAAUACCGCAUAAUAACAGUUGUUGCAUGACAACUGUUUGAAAGGUGCAAUUGCAUCACUACCAGAUGGACCUGCGUUGUAUUAGCUAGUUGGUGGGGUAACGGCUCACCAAGGCGACGAUACAUAGCCGACCUGAGAGGGUGAUCGGCCACACUGGGACUGAGACGCGGCCCAGACUCCUACGGGAGGCAGCAGUAGGGAAUCUUCGGCAAUGGACGAAAGUCUGACCGAGCAACGCCGCGUGAGUGAAGAAGGUUUUCGGAUCGUAAAGCUCUGUUGUAAGAGAAGAACGAGUGUGAGAGUGGAAAGUUCACACUG
This 457-nucleotide ribosomal RNA is filed under the name Streptococcus sp. oral taxon C56. RNAcentral's name for it is "bacterial SSU rRNA". It matches the Rfam family "Bacterial small subunit ribosomal RNA", at positions 28 to 471 of the family's 1533-position model. Lineage: Bacteria; Bacillati; Bacillota; Bacilli; Lactobacillales; Streptococcaceae. The record is from RNAcentral.